CCUCUUCGAUCUGCUGCGGGCAGAUAAAGUGAAUAUGGCUAUCCAUGCCGCCGGCGGUGACGAUCUUGCCCUCACCCGCGAUCGCCUCCGUGCCCGGCCCCACGAUGAUGUUGACGCCCGGCUGCAUAUCCGGAUUGCCGGCUUUGCCGAUCGCAACGAUUCGGCCAUCCUUAAGGCCGAUAUCAGCCUUGACGAUCCCCCAGGUAUCGACGAUCAGCGCGUUGGUAAUGACGGUAUCGACGGCGCCGUUCGCGCGCGUCACCUGGCUCUGCCCCAUGCCGUCGCGAAUG
RNAcentral lists this small RNA (290 nucleotides) under Rhizobium sp. BK313. RNAcentral describes it as "5' ureB small RNA". It matches the Rfam family "5' ureB small RNA". The record is from RNAcentral. Lineage: Bacteria; Pseudomonadati; Pseudomonadota; Alphaproteobacteria; Hyphomicrobiales; Rhizobiaceae.